Molecule: ribosomal RNA, 465 nt
Filed under: uncultured Pseudomonadaceae bacterium
Lineage: Bacteria; Pseudomonadati; Pseudomonadota; Gammaproteobacteria; Pseudomonadales; Pseudomonadaceae
Description: bacterial SSU rRNA
Rfam family: Bacterial small subunit ribosomal RNA
Source: RNAcentral
CCUACGGGGGGCAGCAGUGGGGAAUAUUGGACAAUGGGGGGAACCCUGAUCCAGCCAUGCCGCGUGUGUGAAGAAGGUCUUCGGAUUGUAAAGCACUUUAAUUUGGGAGGAAGGGUUUACACCUAAUACGUGUGAACUUUGACGUUACCAAAAGAAUAAGCACCGGCUAACUUCGUGCCAGCAGCCGCGGUAAUACGAAGGGUGCGAGCGUUAAUCGGAAUUACUGGGCGUAAAGCGCGCGUAGGUGGUUCGUUAAGUUAGGAGUGAAAGCCCCGGGCUCAACCUGGGAAUUGCUUCUAAAACUAGCGGGCUAGAGUACGGUAGAGGGUGGUGGAAUUUCCUGUGUAGCGGUGAAAUGCGUAGAUAUAGGAAGGAACAUCAGUGGCGAAGGCGACCACCUGGACUGGUACUGACACUGAGGUGCGAAAGCGUGGGGAGCAAACAGGCUUAGAUACCCGAGUAGUC